Molecule: ribosomal RNA, 462 nt
Filed under: uncultured bacterium
Lineage: Bacteria
Description: partial 16S ribosomal RNA
Rfam family: Bacterial small subunit ribosomal RNA
Source: RNAcentral
GACGAACGCUGGCGGCGUGCUUAACACAUGCAAGUCGAACGGAAAGGCCCUUCGGGGUACUCGAGUGGCGAACGGGUGAGUAACACGUGGGUGAUCUGCCCUGCACUUUGGGAUAAGCCUGGGAAACUGGGUCUAAUACCGAAUAGGACCACGCGCUUCAUGGUGUGUGGUGGAAAGCUUUUGCGGUGUGGGAUGGGCCCGCGGCCUAUCAUCUUGUUGGUGGGGUAAUGGCCUACCAAGGCGACGACGGGUAGCCGGCCUGAGAGGGUGACCGGCCACACUGGGACUGAGAGACGACCCUAUCUCCGACGGGAGGGAGCAGUAGGGAAUAUUGGACAAUGGGCGCAAGCCUGAUGCAGCGACGCCGCGUGAGGGAUGACGGCCUUCGGGUUGUAAACGUCUUUCGAUAGGGACGAAGCGCGAGUGACGGUACCUGUAGAAGUAGCACCGACCAACUACGAG